CCGAGUUAUACAAACUCAUCAACCCUGUGAACAUACCUAUAACGUUGCCUCGGCGGGAACAGACGGCCCCGUAACACGGGCCGCCCCCGCCAGAGGACCCCCUAACUCUGUUUCUAUAAUGUUUCUUCUAAGUAAACAGCAAAUAAAUUA
Molecule: unclassified non-coding RNA, 150 nt
Filed under: soil metagenome
Description: partial internal transcribed spacer 1
Source: RNAcentral